This 310-nucleotide ribosomal RNA is filed under the name uncultured bacterium. Its description in RNAcentral is "partial 16S ribosomal RNA". It matches the Rfam family "Bacterial small subunit ribosomal RNA", at positions 503 to 807 of the family's 1533-position model. The record is from RNAcentral.
AAGAGACAGCAGUAGCCACGGUAAUACAGAGGGUGCGAGCGUUAAUCGGAUUUACUGGGCGUAAAGCGUGCGUAGGCGGCUUCUUAAGUCGGAUGUGAAAUCCCUGAGCUUAACUUAGGAAUUGCAUUCGAUACUGGGAAGCUAGAGUAUGGGAGAGGAUGGUAGAAUUCCAGGUGUAGCGGUGAAAUGCGUAGAGAUCUGGAGGAAUACCGAUGGCGAAGGCAGCCAUCUGGCCUAAUACUGACGCUGAGGUACGAAAGCAUGGGGAGCAAACAGGAUUAGAUACCCCGGUAGUCCCUGUCUCUUAUAC